Molecule: RNA transcript, 26172 nt
Organism: Aethalodelphis obliquidens (Pacific white-sided dolphin)
Lineage: Eukaryota; Metazoa; Chordata; Mammalia; Artiodactyla; Delphinidae
Gene name: killer cell lectin-like receptor subfamily G member 2
Exons: 4
Source: RefSeq, a predicted model, not a curated record
CCGGGCGGUCUCCUCGGGCUGCGGGGCCGUAGGCGCCUUGCUUCCCCGUCCCCUCCUCUCCAGGUCCCCCGUACCCCCUCCCCCGCCCUGAUCCGGCGGCGAAGGGGUGGGCAGGGAAACGCGCUCUCUGGGACAGGUGCCAACUCCGAGACAAAAGACAUAAAAUAGGCGGCAACGGGGGAAGCGCGGCCGGCGCGCUCGGGCGGGGACGGAGGCGCCGCGGGGGCCGCAUCCUCGGUGCCGACCCGGGAAAGUUUGGGAAGUCGCCGCGGCGGCUUCGCAGCGGCGGGGGACACACGGGCCGGGCCGCCCUCCGCGCCGCGCUCGCCCUCUCCGCGCCGCUGCUGAAUAAUUCAUGGCGCGGCCGCCGGCCAUUAGCAUGCACCGGGCGCGCGGCGCGUCUGUGCCCAGCCGCCGCCGCCGCAUUCGGCGCCCCGGCCGCACUAGACGAGCGGCCGCGCGGAGGCCGGGCCCGCGUUGCCCCCGCGCUCGCCCGCCGGUCCGCCGGCCCGGCGGCUUUCAUUGUGCCCCGGGCCCGCGCCGCCCGGCCGUCCGGUGACCGUCCGCACCCCGCAGCGCGCCCGACGGCCAGUCGCUGGAAGUUCGGGCCCGCGGAGCCCGGCCGGCAGCCCCGGGAUGCACGUGAACUUGGAGAAAGUCGCGGGGCGCGCCGGCGCGGACCUCCGCUGCAGGGCGUGGGCGUCCCCGGCCCCGCGCGCUUUCGUUUUCGUCCGGGACAAAGGUCCCUCGCGGCGCAGGUCGCGGACGUGGAGAUCGUGUCCUGCGGGCCACUCUGCGGGGAGGUCCGGUCGUUCAACACAGGGAAGCCGGAGCCAGGAGAAGUGGAGCAGCGCGGUCCGAGGCGCGGCGCGGGACCAGGGGAGUGGGGCCUGGCCGUGCGCUUCGCCCGCGCCGUCCCGGAGCUGUCGCGCCCCUGCCACGAGUUGUGGGACAUGGCACCGCUUUGCUCUCUGCCCUUUUCGCCGCGUAAAGGAGAGAAUCACUUGGAACCCACGACUCAGACCGAUGGCCGAGGGCCUGUGCAGCCGUGGGCACGAUAGCGCAGCGCCGGCUGCGUCCGGGCGCGUCCCUCCGGCAAGGGCAGAGCGCCCCUGUCUCGAUUGGGUUCACUCUCGAUUCUUGAGGCCGGUAAGUGCAUUUCUCACUUUCGCUACUUAGUGAAUAUUUAAAUAUUAAUGAAGGGAUUUCUAAGAAGAGCCCUUCUGUAGGGCAGGCCUUCCACAGACCAGGGGACCCGGGAAGGAGGUCGUUCUUGAACCUGAAGCCGCACCAGCUUGCAAGAACUCCAUGGCCGUCAUUAAAAUUCUGGAACUUGGAAUUUGUGAAAUACAGCUUCCGAUCUCAGGUGUGUGCCGGCCAUUUGCCAGAGAGAAUUUUGUUGAACACAUAAAAUACCGUUAGCAGGCAUCUUACGUAGAAUAGAAGGAAAAGAGAACACAUCUGUUUUUAGAUUAGAUGUGUUCGGAAAGGUUAAUUGGAAGCUACAGUCCAGCAGUGCUUCUUAUUUUUUUCUGCUGGUCAGGCAUUUAUGAAGAGCUGGUUUAGGGCGGCCCUCGGUCAACCACUGGCCGAUUGGGCCGGUGGAGUGAAAGCCCUGUGCGUGGAAGCUGCUGUUUAUGGUGGCAUAAAACGAAAAACAACUCAUAACUUUUCAUAAUAAAUCCCCCUUUAUAGGUGGGUCACAUACGGGCCCAGCCGGCAGCCCUGGGGAAUUUGUGGGGAGCAAGAAAGGGGGUGGAGGAAUGCACAUUGGCCGUAAUUACAGGGUUUUAAGGUAACACUGAAAUUAAUUUCUUCAGAGUUGGGCUUCAGAGGCCAAGGCAGCCUCUGCAGGCCAGCACUAUGUUCAUUUUAUUUUAGUUUGUCGGUUCUAGCUAUUUGGGAUUUUCAAAUGCUUGUUUGUACUUGCGUGUACCUAUCCUGUUAAAAUGAAACCUGUAACGGGGGGGGAUUAACCCGGUUUUUGCUAUGAUCAUAUCGCAGGUGUGAUUUCCCCUCUACUCUCCCCCAUCUUGUUGAUGUGGUUUGGACAACCUUGCUGGGUGCCUUGACCACAAAAUAAUGGGGAGGGGGGCCUGCUUCCCUAACACCCGGGAGUGUGAGCUGGCACUCGGAGGCUGUGUUUCCGGGAACGUGGACAGAGGCCUGAGUAGCCCAGGCCUGCCUCAUGCCUCCCUCUCCCCGGGCUGCCUGGUUUUCAGGUCUGAGGGGAGAACCCAGAGGGACAAGGAGACCCCUUCAAUAAGGUCUUGCCCACCUGGCGCCGAGGCUGAAAGUUUGCUUCGUACUGUAGAGCUGUCCUCGCCAUCUUCUUUUGCUAGGCCAUCCUCUGCUCCCUCGGUCCCCUGUUUUACAUUUGUAUUUAUGACUUUAUCAGAGGCAGUUAGCAGACAUGAAACCCGGGGGUGGGACAUUGGGGAGUGAUCUCAGAAACCGGGGCGCAGCUGCGGAAGGCAUGCCAGUUCGGCCGCGAGCUGCUGCUUGCCGUGGCAUUGGCGGUGACGGGUUAGUAAUUACGGAAAGCCCAGCUUCUGUCGGGGCCUUGCCUGUAAAAUGCGGGAGACGUUUUCUCAGGUCCACAGAUGACCCGUAACGUAGCACACGAUGGGCAGGGAUGGUGUGGCGUUCUGCUCAGACUGUCGGGAAUCCCCCAGGAUUAAAACAGACCCCGAAACAAGGGGCAUGGGUUGCUCCCUCUCCGCGGGCCUACGGGCCAUACGCUGGGAGCUGGGCAAGGCCUGAGCAUCCGAGGGCCACUCAGUGGGGGGUUGCUGUUCGUCACAGCUCCAGAGGUCCAUCGCCUGCCCCGUGUGUGCCCCGGGCAAAGGGAAUGUGAUGGGGCUGAGAGUCCACUGCCAACAUCGGGGCCUGCCCCGCAGACGGAGGCCCUGCCUCGGCACCAAGCCAUCCUGUCCUGCCGUUGUCCUGUCCUUAGAGCCAGCCCAGUUCCACUGGAGACUCCCAGUGGAGACCCGGGUCCCGCCAGGGGCUUCUUACUACGUAGGGAUGUCUCACCCGGAUAAAAAUGUAUUUUUGAGGACGAGGACGCAAGACGAGGUUCGGAAAAUGAAACUGGCGCCUGUCUGGUUUUUAUCACUCUGGAUUUAAGGGAAAGAAUGUGCUAAGCAGGGCACAGGGUCUUGUGGACCGGGGCGGGCUGGCGGGAGGACGGCCUUCGUGUUCUUGUUUUUGUUUUCAGCCAGGGCCGGGCCCGCCGUGGCCCCUGGCCUGCACUGGGGCCUUGCCGUGCCCCGCCUCUGGCCACUUGAGGCCCCCGAUUCUGGCCUGGGCGUCUCCAGGGUGUGGGUGAAGCUGGCUGCCCAGGUCUCACACGCCGCCUGAACAGGUGCAGACAACAUCUUGCUUGGCUCCACGGAAACAGCAGGGAGCUUUGCGGCGGGGCUGCUUUCGGGUCCCUGUGGCCACCGUGGAUGACGCCGUGCACGGGUCUCACUUGCUGCCAUUCUCACCCCGGCGCGGACGAGGCCUGACCGGAAGGCAGAAGGUGGGGCCCAGGGAGGGGCCAGAGGGCUUUGCCCACCCUGACGGUCACCCUGCCCGGGUGGGUGCUCCUUGGUGUCCGGGGAAACCGACAUGUACCUCAAGUGAGGGACGGCGCUCGGGAAGGGAAGGAGGCCCCAGAGGCCGGGCAGGAAAACAUCUUAAAAGCAUCACACCUGGCUGUUGUCGGGCUGGGAGGGUGUAUCUGCAUGUCUAGGGAGAACAGAGAAUGCCCUUGCGGAAAUCCCGUGAAGGGGGGCUGUCCUAGCUCACGUCCAGGCAGCUCCCAUCCGGCCCCCACCCCGGGCUCACCAUGAGACCCUGGACAAGUGGCAUCACCUCCCGGGACUGCACCCCAAGCUCUAGAGCAAAAAUAAGAAUCCCAACCUCAGAGGGUGAUUCGGAAGGUUCAGACAACAUUAUUUCCACAGACCACGGUUCCUGGCACGCGGCAGGGACGCCGUAAAUGGCUGUUGUAAUUGUUUUCAUUGUAACUAGUGAUCGCCACUUUUAUUGCUGGUUAUUAUUAUAUUUUUGAGUUUCUAAGAAGCAGGGAACCUAGUUUUGGUUUCAUUAGAAAGGACACCUGAGAGUUUACCAUCGCCACCCCCCCCCCCCCCCGGUGAUAGCGAAAGUGAACCUUGAUCUUUUCAACAUAGAGUGUCAGGAACUUGCAAAGCCAGGGCUUCCCUUACCCCAGGGACUUGGCUUAGGGACGUGCUUACGGAGGAGGUGCCCCUUCCUCGGCACCUAGGAAGUCGAGACCUCCCCAGUGAUGGCACCUGAGGAACCCACCUGGGCGCUGGCCCCAGGGGGCCGACCAGGGCGAGACAAGGGCAAGACACCGUGACUCAGGGGUCCAGAGUGGCCCACCCCAGCCGCCAGCCUCCUUGCGGGCAAUGCAGGUAGCAGUUGGAUGGGAGGGUUUAACCACUCUGAUGAGCUAAUUGUUCUUUGGCCCCACACAAGCGAACGUUUACCAAAACGCUUGCUUUGGGAGAAUUUUCUCUCUCAGCUGAUCAUCCAGGAAGACCCGGCAAGAUUGCCCUUUCUCAAAACAUCUUGUUGGAACAAGAAAGAACCCCAGAUGGUACCAGCCAUGCUUUCUGAUGUUACGGAGCCGAGGAGGGAGAAAAAGCAACAAUUGUCUCUGGGCAAAGACAAUGGACCUUUUAUAUGAAAUAUUUAUUUUCAGGGCUGACCAGUGUCCCGUUGGCUGGGCCAGUGGAGCGCCAGUGUCUGAGCAUCACAGGUCCUGAGAACUGAGUCAGGGAUGAGAUUUACAGAAAAGGAAAAAAAGAAAGUCCCCUGACCUGUGGUUCUUGGGAAAUUUCAGUGGGAAUGUCUGGCUUUUUUUUUUUUUUUUUUUUUUUAAUCGAGUGGAGUUUAAACUUUCACAAGUUUAUUUUUUCUUCCUCUGUGAUUUCUUCUGCAAGGCCACAGGGGCAUGUUGGCAAGCAUUGGAAAGGUAGCCAGGUCGGCCUUUGUCUGCUGGGAGAUGGCAGAAUGGAAGUGAGACAAACUCACUUUGUCGGAGUUUAAGAAGAGGAAGGGUCUGUCCCCAGGGGGUGGGGGGAAAGCCACCAAGAGCAAUUGGGGACAAUAUUUGUGAUUCUCUGGUGUCCUUCACUCCUCCCCGAUCCUGUUCUCCGAUGAACUUGGGAUCUGACCUGACUUGGCGAAGCCACACAUGGUCUCUCGAACACCCUUCCAGCUGGACAAGCCUGGCGGCCCAGAGUUGAGCCGGAUGGACAUUUUCUGAAGAAACAGAAGGAACGGGAUUUUACUCUGAGGCCUUCUUAGGAGCCACCUCCAUCUUCCCCGCUCUGGGGCUGCCGGUGGCGCUAGAGCUGCCGACCCUGGCUUCUGCCGACCCAAGGUCCAGCUUCAGUGCAGCCAGGAAGGCGCCCUGGGAAGCAAGGCCUGGAUCCCAGGCUCACGUUAGGGACUCCGGGAGGAACUGAUCAGGCUGGGGCUCGUGAUGGAAACAUCGGAGAAUCAGUCUUCCUGGCGUUGGGAAGGCCGUGGCGGACAAUCGGCUGAGACCCCCCACCAGCUUAGGGGGUCCUCAGACUGGUAGGCGGAGGACAGAAGAGGGAGUGGCCCCGAUCAGGGUGGACGAAGACGGGCCCCUCCCUGUCAGGCUUCCCCUUUACCCCAAAGACUUGGUUGGCAAAUUAUAAUAUCUGGCUUCAAAAAUGAGGUUUUGUUUUUUAAAUCGCUGUCGCGUCUUUAAAAACACAAAAAUCCUGGAACCUCUUAGCUGUGGUCUGUUUCACCUUCUGCAUUAACCCCCCCCCAAAAAAAAACGCUAUGAAGAGAGUUCUCUUUGGGGGUAACCGCAACAGUCUCUGAGGCCACGAGUAGAGUUGGUAAGAUUGGAAUGGAAAAGACUGAAAUCUCCUGACAUGAGGCAGAACGACCGUAAAAUGCAAGCUUUUAUUUACUGGGUUUUUUUGUUUGUUUGUUUGUUUUAACGGAGAGGGGUUUGAAAGUAAAAUGCUGCAAAGUCUCACUGUGAAAUUUUGGACGGGAAACUUGUUUCGGUCCGUAUGCAGGAGUCUUGCCUUAGGGAUGGCUCAGAAUCCCUGUGGAUGGAUAAAUCGGGCACCUCUGCAAACGGCCGGCCAGGCCCACUGUUGAAUCAGCGGCUAAGAGGUUUUCUGAGUAGAUAUAUGACCCCAGAGGUGAUGGUUAUUACUGCUGAAUGAGCCUGGUAGUUGUGGUGAGAAAAUGUGUGCAUGGGACGUACAAAGUAAAGGCCAAAUUAUCUUUUUCUGUUUUUGGAGUAAUAGAAUUUCCCCUUAAGAUGGAAAACAAGAAUGUUGUCCCUGUUGCCCCGGUUUCUAAAGGCAGGGCUGGGUUUUUCUGCGAAUCGCCCUUCCUUUAAUUCUAGGAUGUCAGAUGGUUAGGAAGAGCAUUUAGCUGAAAUAUUUACCUGCUGAUUUGGGGCUCUUCAAUCUAGAUUCGUCUUUCAUGUGUUUAAGAGCGAUAUUUACAUUCAAAUCAGCCUUUUAUAAUUACAUUUUAAAUUAUAAUGAAAUGAUGGAGCCGGGGCUUCAGUCUUCCAUAUGUUUUAACAGUGAGAGACGCACUGGUGGGUUGCAUAUCACAUCACCAGCCCUGGGCUCCGAGCAGGCGUGAACAGGCACCAGACACGCAGGUGCCGGCCUGCAGGGCCACAUGUGUGUCCUGAGGAUGUCAGGGUCCCUGCGUGUCACCUGUGGAGCCCUCCCCGCCCCGCCAGGGGGAGAAGGGCUUGUGGAUGGGGAUCCUGGCCCCGGCGCUGUGGUUCGGCUGCCAAACCUCACAGCGUGCAGUGCAUCCGAGAAGGGCCUGGUCUGGGCCUGGCUGCCCCUCCGCCCUGGCUGAUGUCUUGCGUCCCGGACCCCACGCUGGCCCGCAGGCCUUGGGGCGGAGGCCUUUAUCUCCUGGGCAGCCAGCUGGGCACAGCAGCGGCCACUUCUGGUCGUGGUGAUAGUGUGUGUGGUGUGUGAGUGUGUGUGUGUGAGUGUGUGUGAGUGUGUGUGUGUGUGUGUGUGUGUGUGUGUGUGUGUGUGUGUGUGUCGGGGAGACCGGGUGAGGGAGGGUGCCCACCUCCUCCUUUCAGGGCGGCCCCCAAACGGCCCUACAGUUUUCAGUGGCUUUCCCCAUGGAUCAUGGGGGACGCUCUCCUCCCGGGGCCAGGCUGUUGGCAGCCGUGCCAAGCCGUUCCUGGAAUGGAAUUCCCAGCGUUCCUGGUCGGGCGCGUGGCAUCGGAAUCCUACCUGCUUUGUCUCUGGCAUCAGCUGGUGAGCUAGUCACGUGGCCGCGUGCGUGAGACCAGAGCCCGAAGAUCAGAGGGCGCCUCCUGGCCUCUUCCUUCUCGCUCCCCCCCCACCCCCCGGCCUUGUGCUUCGGGUAUGGCCAUCUCUGCACAGGCAUAAAGCAGUAUUAAAAUAAAACGUCCUCCAGGCAGCCGGGGCGCGGGGGGAGCUCCCAGCCACAGAAAGGCCCGUAAGCCGGGGAGCAACCCAGGGCCCACGAGCGAACUCUGGCCUCGGCGGCCCAGCCUCGGUCACUCCACGCGGUCCCUUCCACCCCCAGAGCUGGCCCUGCCUGCCCGGGGACCCUGCCCACACUGGCAGCCUUGUGGCUCACCCUGCACAGGGACAGCCAGGCGGUCAUCGCCUCAGCUCCUGGCCACAGAAAGGGCCGAUGGAGAGACCUGGGCAGGCUGGCCAAGCGGCCACGGCCCGUGCCUGCAGGAGAGGGCCGCCGGGCCCGGUAGAUCUCCAAGUGAGAGUGCCUGGGUUAGAACCUCAAGCCCAGUGACCCAGGCCAGGCACGGGUCACCUUUCCUCGCUGUGGUGGAAGAUUUGCCUCGGUGAAACUGGUGGAUUUGUGACGGUCUGAAUGGGGUGUGGUGAUGGGCCUGGAGCCCGACCCUGGGCCCCUCGCCGCGGCCUGGCUGUGUGCAUUUUUCAUUGUGUCGUCACAGCAGCCCUGAGUGGCUGGAGCUGAGACCCCCGUCCCGUGUACUCAUGGGGAAACUGAGGCCGGGAGAGGUGGCGUGGCUUGCCCGGGGUUAGGUGGCCACUUGGACCCAAGGCUGGGUUCAAGCCAGUGGUCCGGCUCUCGAGCCUGACGGCAUAACCUCCCAGGGCAUCGGCUAGAGUGGGCUCGCUCCAGGGGAUCCCGGGGAGCACAGCCGGGGUGCUGGCUGCCGCCUGCCCCUCGGCCGGGCCCAGCGUGGGAACAAUGUGGCCUCUAUCCCCGGAGCAGCCCAGCCAGGCAGGCGGCUCGCAACAUGGCGCCCAGGGCCGCGCCGCCUGUCCACGGGGAGGGCUGGCGCCCGGGCACGGCCCGGCUCCCGGCGUCCUCCUCAGGCCGGCCGCUGAGUGGCCAGACGCUCCUGCUGCCCCCUCCCUCUCCCGCUUGGCCAGCCGCCCCCCCCCCCCGGUGGUGGGUUUCGGGGUCCGGCCCACCCGCCUCUGCCACGUCUGCCAUCCUCCCGGCACCCAUGAGCAUCUUUCAAAAAUUCCCGGUGGGCGGGGCUGAGCCGUAGCGGCCGCCUCUGGCCCCCCCUCCCCGGGCAGCCAGUGCCAGAUGAGAGCAGGAGACAAAAGUAGCAUUUUCCUCGUCCUCCUGGGCUGGCAGCGGGGCCUCCCCAGCACCACUUGGCUCUGGCAGCCCUGCCUCUGUGUGCCGGGGUGGCCGAGGCCCAGGCCGCGCCGGCCAGGACCGAGGAACCGAUGGACGAUGGUGGCCAGAGACCAGGCGCCUGAGGGCCUGUUGGACGGGGGCUGGCACCUGGGCACGGCCUGCUGGCCAGCGGCCCCUGCCCUCCUCUGCUUGCCACGGGGACCAGCCGGCCGGGUGAGGGACACCGUUUUCACUUCCCUGCUUUUGAGAACCUCCGCAUCCUGCACCUCGGGUAAGUCUCCUUCUUCCCUUCUCUCGCGCUGGAGAUAAGCCGAGGGCUCUGCCAUCUUGUGCUCGGUGCCUGUUACGUUUCCUUCCCUCUAAUUGGUUAUCCGAAAUUCAAAAUUCUAUUUCAGACCGCCCCCAGCCCCCCACAUCUUCAGUGAAGUGAGCCCUUCCAAAAACUGCAGGGAAGAUGCAGCAGCCGGACCCAUUUAUUUUUAAGACCCAAAGCUGUAGGCUUCAGAAAUCACAAUAAAAAUGAAUGUUUGUUAUUUCACAGUAGCUGCAUGUUCAAUUAUAAUUUGAACAAAUGUUUCAGGAGGCAUUAAUAGGCACGGCCUACUCUCUCGUGCUCAGUUAUGUCGGUUUUCUGGGGGGAGGUCUUAUCAUCAUCCUCAUUAUUAUGAUUUUAAUUUUUGGCGACGCCAGGAGUGGCAGAGGGAAAAACACCAGAAACAUCCAUGCUCCUCCCAGCAAACUCCUCGGCAGGCAGGGCCAGGCUGGCACACGGGAGGGUGGAUUCUGCUUUGAGAAACAGAGGCCCUUUCAUUUUGUCCGGCAUCUUUAAUGCUGCCAUGUCCACAGUUGAGCGAUCCAGUUUCUUUCUCCCUUUUAUUUUAUUUUAUUUUUUGGGAGGGACGGGGGAUAAAAGGAAGCUCUUUUCGGCUCUCAGCUUAGUGUGGGGAAAAUCUUUUAGGUUGUUUUGGGCUUUGUAUUUUAAGCACUUAUUUAAGCCCGGGGGUUCCAGCUAACAUUGCUGUGCCGGUUCCUAACCACCCUGCCCACAGACGGCUUCUGGGGUGCAUGUGGGCACGUCCACCAGACCAACCCUUGGGGGCCCUGAGUGGUCCCAGGGCCUGCCUGUGCCCUGAUCUCAUCCUGGUUUCGCAUUUGCAGAGCUGUGGCCCAAGGCAUCCUGACCAUCCAGGGCCUGAACCGUGGCCAGCGGGGCAGGGAGUAGAGUCCCUUGAAGACCUUUGGGUCCCUGGGCCACGCCACCACUGCCGUCUGGGAGCUGGGUUCCGUGACUGCCUGAGUUUCUCUGUUGGUCCCAGAACCUUUGCAUUUAAAAGGUGGGCUUUGCAGGGUUCGGCUCGAGUUCACCUCCACCCUCUGGCAGGCUGACAAAAGCACCGCAGACACGGCCCGGUUUCCCCACGUUUGAGGGUAGCAGCCAGGGUCUUGAUUUAUGGAAAAUGGAAAAUCAGGCCCCGAAAGUUCCGAAUUGCAACGAAGAGGAAAAUUCCCACGUGAAUACGUUUUUGUUUUCCUGAUUCGGAGGCAUUGGGGUCCUGUUUGUGCAGGCCUGAGCAGCUGGCUGGAGCAGACACCACCAAAUAUUGAGACUGAGCUCGGCGCGCACGAGGAGUAUCUGCGCCUGCUUUUGUUCUUAGAUUCGACAGCAGUCGAUCCUGGAGGAUUUGGGGCUGCAGAUACAGGCGUAUAGAGCAGAGAUAAUUAAAACAUUUUCAUGAUUAUGACAGCCACAUUCUGCUGCUGCGAGCUGGAAGAUCACUCCAGCCAGAUAUUUAGGAAGCACCAGAUAAAACACUGGUGACAAAAUAAAAGUAAUAGAAAAAAAACUGUGAUAAAUUCUAAAGGCAAAAGAGGCAACAGGAUAGAGAGAGGUUGGUGGGGGGGGAGGGAAGGUUCAUCAUUUUUAAAGAAUUUAUACUUUUAAUAGCUGCCCACUCCUCGUUUUUAAAAUUUGUAUUAUAAUAAAAUUAUAGUUUUAUUAUAAUGAAUGUAGGUGAAUAGGCCUUUAAUCCUAAAUCCUGAAAUGACAGGCAGAUUUCCUGAGCAUUAACUCGUCUUAUUUUUGGACAAGGUAGAGGCAAGCGGCGUAAAGUCAAUUAAUUUCCAUAAAUGAGCAUUUUCAUCCUAAAUCAGUAUUUUCCACCGAGAUUAUGUUCAAUCUAAUGGUUUUAAUAUAUAUGGAUAACACAUUCUCCAGCAUACACCUUAUAUAGUUGAGAUAGUUACAUGGGAUCGAUUAUCACCUUCGUUUUUUAACUCUGGUAAUAAUACUUUACCUCCCCCAAAUCAGUAAAAUUCCACAGAAUCUUUUUUUUUUUUUUUUUUUUUAAUCAGGCAAAAGUAUCAGCAUUCUCCAUGGCACCCAGUACUUCUCAGCAGUAUUUUUUUUUUUUUUUUAAGAAAGUACCACACAUAGCAGUUUUCACAUCAUCGCUUCUAUAUAAAUUCCACUAUAGACUGAAAUUAUACAUUCUCACAGCACAGAUGGGCUGGUCUGUCAUUAUGACUGCCGGGUCCUUGUUGGAACACACAGCAUAUUUCAAUUGUGGAGUCGACAAUUUCGAAGAACUGAGGUCAAAAUAAACAAGUUGCAUUUGCGUUUAAAAGCAGUCUUAUUAAAUGAUCUUCUGAUCCCCUGAAAAAUUUGGUAGCAAAACAACCAUCACCUUUAUUAAAGUUUAAUUGAAAAUUUGGUCUUCAUCUGCAUCUUUUUAAGACUCCAAAUGCCCUAUGGCAAAGGACCUUAAAUGUUCAAAUUAAUUACCAAUUUUUAUCUUUUUUUACAUCCUGAACAGCCUAACACUAGAUUUAUAUUAAAAAUGACAGGGUUUGGGACUUCUGAUUUUAAUAUCUUCAUAAUCUCUGUAGGAAAGACAUUAAACCUUUUGUUGUUCUAUGUACUUUCAUGCAAUUAUUUUGAGAAGCUUCUGAAAAAUCAGAUGAUAAGUAUCUUGCAUGGUCUCAAGGUCCAUUUAAGUCCAAACUGAAAAAGAAAAUUCAACAGGUAAACUACAAACACUAGCUAUAAACUUAAAAAAAUUAUCUCGCAAGAUAACAAUGCAGAAUUUAUUGGUCCAUAUCAACACACGUGAGGGCAGAGCAGUUUUACAGCCACUAUAAUUUGCAAAUGAUGAUAACUUUAUUUUGUGAAUUUGCUCACGUUGGGAGGUAAUCGGUUCUGAGGGUUCUUUUUCCGCCCCCGCCCUGUCUUGAAAUGGUCACUUCUGCGUGUCUUAAUUCUGGAUUCAGGCUCCGCAGCUCUCAGCCUCCGAGGCCCUUCCUGGCCAGGAGCAGCUUCCCCAAGUGUCUGCCGUGCUGAAUGAGAGAAGGGUGCUUCCCUCUGCCGUGUCCUGAAUGCGCCCAACACCCUUCCAAUUGUGGAACUUCCAAAGUAGAAGUGCUUUGUUGCGGCUUGUUUAUUUUAAGGAAUGUACCUGUUGGCGGAGAUGUUGGGGAGUAAUAGGAAAAGUGAAAUGUUGAUGAAAUUUGCCAGAGCCGUUUGGGAGCUGCUCUCUGUAGCGGCUGUGCUCUCGGAUUUUUUUAACCACUUCAUCCUUUCUGAUGUUGGUCUUUGACUCUUGUCUCUGCAUCAGAAAUGUGUUUAUUAUCAGCCCCGUGAAUGUGGCACUGGUCUGGGGCUCUCAAAGAUGAGGCACAGGGAAGCAUCCCAGCCUUCCCGGGUCAGAGCUUCAGAGCGAUGGCGUCAUAGUAACGACAGUGGCGGUGGCAGUGGUAGUCAUGACAAUACUCCACCGUGUGCUUCGCACCAUGCCAGGCUUUUUCGUGUUUGGAAAAGAAGGGUGGGUGGAGGAGAGCAUGAGCUCCAGAACUCGUGGCUGGGGUUCAAGCUGAGUCAUUUAUAGUUGCUGGCUGUGCUGAUCAAGGGUGAGCCAUUUCACCCCUCUGUGCCUCAGUUUCCCCAUCUGUAAAACGGGGACAGCAGGUGCCCCCACCUCACAGUCACACACAUAAAGCCCUGGACGCGACACUUAGUUCAUAGAGAGCAGCCCAUGAUCCUGUUUAUCCUCGAUUUAUUUCUGAGUUUCAGAAAUGCCCGCAAGGUGGGGGUCAUCAUCGCCGUUCCUCCAGGGGAGGCCCUGAGCCUUAGAGGGUCAACCGUCUGAUGAUGGUUGGGAUGGAUUCGAGCCCGGGCCUGCCGCCCUCCAAAGCCUGUGUGCCUUGUGCAUUAAGUGAUAGUGUGGACACGCGUGUCUACGCAGCAGCCCGAUGUGGAUGGCGUGCCUUUGCCAGUGUGUGUGCACCCUGACGGUACUGUAACACGUGUGCUACGCACGGCUGUCCUGUGCUCCCUGGUCCCUGGGCCACCCCGAAGAUGCCUGGCCGGGCGUUCCACUGCCCACUGGAUGGGCGGGUCUCCCAGCGCUGGGUGGACGGGCACCCAGGUGCGUGAAGCUGGGCCGGCUGCACUCUGGGCGUCGGCCAGUCACCCUCGUUCUCCUCAGAGAGGCAGGCCAUUCCGGACGCCGGCCAUUUGCAGACCCGGAGGACUGGCAUCGGGCCUCCAGCCCAGGAGAGGAAAUGGCGGCGGGGCAGGCCCAGGACGGGAUCGGGGAAGGCGGCCGAGGGCGGGAGCGGCCGGAAGGCCUGGGGUGGGCGCGUCAUCGUGCCGGCACCCUCCUCCGGCGUUAGAGCCAGCCUUCCGUGCAGGUCUGCAUGUGUGUGCACGUGUGUGCACACGUGUGUGCGUGCGCCUGCGUGCCAGGCUCGGGCCCCUGAGCCGCACACCCAGGAGCCUGAGCAGGCCGUUCCCCCCACCCCAGGAACACGGCGGGGACUGGGCGGGGGGUUUGAUGAGACGGCGUUAACCCCCAGCCCACCUUUGGGCAAACAAGGCCUCGAUAAGGAUGGUUCUUACUGCCAGGCCUUGAUGUCAUCUUUAAAGCGGGGCGACAGCGUCGGCCUCGGGGCGCGGUCAGACGCGGCAAGUGGGAGCCUGUCUGGAGGCCGGGUGGCUGGCCUGUUUCGUCCUUCGCUGUGGCCUCGAGGGAAGAGCCUGGAGGCCUGGGCGUCCAGGUGAGCUGCCUGCCCCUCUCGGCCUCGGUUGCCCCGCCCGUGAGGCAGAGGGUAAGUCCUACCCACAGGUUUCUCAUGGAGGAAAACGACGUCACCUGCCAUUGACGGGAGCAGGUUUGGGGGGCCCGGGAAGAGGGUCCUGCCUUGGGUCCCUGUGACUCUCGGGGGACUCGAUGGGACGCAGGAGCCAGGCCCCCAACCCCAGAAGGGAGCCGGGGGUGGCUCCGGGGGUCCUGGCUGCUCCAGCGUGUGCGCCAGAACCUCUGGCCCAGUUUCCUGGGCGCCGGCCCCGCCCCGGCAUUCCUGCGGUGGGUGUGCUCGCGCUUCCGGCCGCCGUGGGCGGAGGGAUCCUGGGGGCAGGCGGCCAGUUCCCGCCGUCCCGCCCGCCAGAGCCUCCCUGUUGUGCUGCUUCCUUCAACUCGAUGGGACGAGGGGUCCCACCUGAGCCCGCCGCGCCGGGUCCAGGCCAGCGGACCCCCACCGUGGCGGCCGAGGCCUCCAGCGGCUGCGUGGGGGGCUCGGGGUGUGGAGAGGGUGCCCUCCGGCCGGCGCCUUUGUCACUGCGAACGCGCAGUAGUAAGUCGCCAGCACUUCCGAGGCUCUCGGCACCGGGUGGGUGGGUGGGUGUGCCUCGAGGGUCUCAGCUUCGGGCCGGGUGCCCCUGCCCGGCCUGUGACCAAUGCCAGCGGCCCGUGACCAAUGCCAGCGGGAGGCCCAGGGAAACAACUUCCAGGUGGUGACUCCUGGGCCCGGCAGCGUGGCCGGCCACCACGGCCCCCAGCCUCGGCGGUGCCACGAGGGACAGGCGUGCCCUGCAGUCAGUGUCCAGUUGCCAGGGGAGGGGUGAGAGAGACCGGCUGGGGCAGGACCAGCGGGGGGACCCAAGUGGCAGAAAUCCCCUGCCUUGGCCCGCUGGAGAGAGGCGGGGGCCGCACUCGUCUCCCCCAUGGGAGGCCGGCCGAUGUCCGAUAUUGCAAACAGGACUCGGCUCCCUGGGGUUGGGGGGAGCUGACCUUCGUUGACCUACUAAGUGCUAGGCCCAGGGCUGAGUACUUCUUUUUGUUUUAAUUUUUUCUUCAGUUUUUGGCCACACCACGUGGCAUGCGGUAUCUUAGUUCCCCGACCAGGGAUCGAAUCUGCGCCCCCUGCAGUGGAAGCGCGGAGUCCCAACCACUGGACCGCCAGGGAAGUCCUCAGGGCCGAGUACUGUAAUCACCUCUUUUUAAACAUCCAUUUUUAAAUUUAAUCUGCCCAAUUCCGUUUUGUUUCAACAUCCAAUCAGAGCCAGCACGUGCCAGCGCUGUUCUGGUGGCGGAAUAGGGCACAGACAAGGCACCCGUGUGGAAGGCGGGUGUGAACGGUUCUCUCUCUGAGAAAACCAAGGCUCAGAGAGGCCAAGGAAUGUCAUCAGAGUCACACAGCUAGCAGGCGACAGAGCCUGCACCCAAACCCAGGUCCGUGACUGCAAGACCCACACCCUUCCCCCCCCCGCCCCCCGCCCCGGCCGGGGAGCAGCGCGCACGGGAUCCGUCUCGCAAAUGCUGACCUCGGCGCGUUCUCCCCACAAAGCCGUCGCCAGGCGGACCUGCCCUUCGGCGUGGAGUUCUGCCCCAAGGGAGAGCCAGGAUUUGCCUCCGUCCCUCCCCUCCUGAGGAGCCAUAGACUGUGGUGGUUCUGGGGGCCCCCAGGACCCGUCUCUGCCUGGGUUGCUGUUUCUCUAGGAUCUCGGGCCUGCCGGUUGGGCUGACGAAGCCCCUGGCGCCCUCCAGGCCUCUGUGCUCAGCGUGCUGGCCGGGCGUGGACAGCACGCAGCGUGGCAGCAGGCGAUGGGAAGGAGGGAGCCGCGGGUCGUCCUUCCUCCCAGUGUUCCUGCGGCCCAGGGUGGGGAAGCGUACGAGGUUGUAGGCCCAGGUGACGUCAGCAGCUCUACAGAGGGUUUAACACUCAGACACCAGGAGUCAAACCUUCGGGAGGUGCUGUAGAAACCCGAAACAGGCAAGACCAUUUUGCAGGCUUGAGCGUUCUCAAAACGGUCCUUUCUGCCUUGUGCCAAAUCCAGACCCUUCCGUUGUACGGGGAGCCUGCUGUGUAGACCAGGAGCCCAGGGGUUUUCUCAGGGUUUUCUCCUGGGGGCUUGUUGCAGGCACGAUUCAGCGUCUGAAGGACCCUGACCUCUCUUCCGUGGAGACGCACUCAACUUAUCUUGGGGUCCGUGGACUGGCCGGGAGUUGGGUGUCAUCGGCACCUGCUGAGGUCUGCUCCAUGGCCGCGUUCCCAGGGUGAGGGGGCUCCCACAGGAAGGAGCCAUGGAAUUUGACCGGAGAUUAAAUUUGAGAGGCCGACAGCCAGCCAGAUCCCGCGGACCCACGGUGGGGAAGGCCGGGCUCGGCUGUGGGCGGCCGUGCCCGCCAGGCUCCGCUUGACGUGUCGGGUGCCCAGUGACCUGGCUGUGAACGCAGCGAGCAGAGGCAUGUGCCGUGCCCCCGACGGAAUCCAGAGGGCUCUGGAAAACUACCCGAGAGGUUUCCGGAGAACAUGGCUGGUCCCAGAGCACCCCCGAGAAAGUGCACACCUGUCGUGGCCUUCAAAAGACGCUCCAGGACCACACGGCCAGGUGGACGGUGUUUGCCCUGCGUCUGGGUGGUGAGGCAGCCCAGGAGGUGAGCAGCCUGGCCGGGAGGGGAACAUGGACCCGGUCUUGGGAGACCCCAGCACCAGCCCCUUCCUCGCAGGCCCCAACCUGCAGCCAGCCGGGCCCACCCUGCCCAGAGUUCCCGAGGGCCGGGCUCGGCCUGGCCCCCGGCAGGUGGAAGAGAUCCCGCUCCGCCACCAGGAGCGAGGGAGUAGAGCAAAGGAUUCCCUGUCCACUCUGGUCCCGCCAAGCCCCGCACCUGCCCUGUGGCCCGAUUACGGCGCUGGCCGGCUGGCCUCCUGGAAGCAGAUGGAAGCAGGGAGGCCCCACCCAGUUCGCUGGCACAGAGACUCCCCUGAACCAGCUCUGUGCUGUCAGCGCCCAUGGCCCCCAGCCCACCUCUGACGAGCCGUCCAGCUGGGUGGGCUUCGUUGGUGCCCUGAGCCUCGGUUUACCCGUCUGUAAGACUUAGGCAGGAAGACCUCCUAGCAGAGUUUGGGGGUGCACAGCCUAGAACACCCGUGGCUUCGGUGAGGGCCUGGGGGUGGGACACAGCCUUUGCCCCCGAGAAGCAGCAGGGGUUUAUAACCCACCGAAAGACAGAAAACUCCUCAACGUGGCGCUCUCCUGGCCUCCUCUCCCUUCGCCGGAGCUCAGCAGGGCCCGGCCUCAUCUAUUCGUUACCUUGGGUUUAUCGUGCUGGGGGCUGGGUGAGAGGAAGGGGUGGGUCGAGGCGAAGCCAGCUCCUGCCCCGUGCAGCGUGGGGACUUGUGGCAGCCUCUGCUCCAAGUGGCCAGGGGACUUUGUUAGCAGCAUCUCUGAGGCAGCCAGGAGGGUUUCAGUGGCCCAGGAACCCAGGCCUGCUGUGGCCACGUGGCUUCGGGUCAAUUUCACAGGCUUGGGGAGGGCAUGGAGGUGGCCCUGUUAGCAAGGACGCUGCCAGAGGUGGCUGAGUAGGGAGAGGCGACCGCUCUGGGUCCUCAGGAUCUUAGCAGCUCUACGGGUGGUCGUGGGUCUGUUUGCACAUCACCGGGACAAGGUGCCCACCUGCCGGGGGGUAUUCCAGACCCCCGAGGUUCUCUGUCAGUGUUACAAAGCGUCUCCUGGGACAGCAUCUGAGGGCUCAUGGGAAUGACCACACUGUAGCAGAAGACUGAGCCACAGCCUAGGGUCAGACUGCCGGGCCCCAGCCUCACCCCACCUUCCCUGCCGUGUGAUCAUAGGGAAGCCAUGGCCCCUGCCUGGGGUUCUGUUUUCUCAUUUGCAAAAAGGGCGUCCCUACUUCUCCCUGCCUCCUUACCAGACACCAAAGAGCAGAAGGGGAUGCCAAACCUGGCUGAGAAGCGGGGGUCUGGCUCGGGACCAAUCACAGCCCACCACUUGCAGAGAUGAAGCCUGCUACGCACACGGCCCUCACCAGUCGUAUAGGCAGGAAGGGAACUAAGGUGUUAUUUGUUUUCUUUUUUCUUUAUGUCGUGCCACAUUAGAAAUAUAUGUGUGAAGCGGCUUAGAGCAAUAUUGACAAUGCAGAAGAGUAAAAAUAAACAGCUGAGGAAAUUGGGGCAAAGGGAAAAUCGCAGGUAGGCCUAGAGAGUCCAUGUCAUGUAGGCAUUUCCCAGUUCUGUCAGUUCAGCUCUGAGCUUCCUAGCAGCCAAAGCAAAGAGGGAAAGACUAUCCCUUGCAGGAAGUGCUGUUUAGGGAGUCCUGUCUCAGCACAGUGAUGCUGAGAGAGAGCUGCCUGGUGCAAACACUCAGGGUUACCCCAGAGGCCCCAGUGAGGCCGGGCAGAAAGAGAGGGAGGGAACUCCCUCAUGCUCAGCACAGCUGCACCCCUCCAUCAUCCUGAGCAUCUCACACCUUGUUUCAUUUAGUUCUCCCAAACCCUAGAAACCUAGGUUGAGAGAGCGGCAGUGAGGACCCCCAGCCCUCUCUGAGCCUGACUUUGACCUUGUGUCUCUCCGUCCCCCAGAUCUACAUUCUUGCAGCCACACCUGCUGCCCCUUGGAGAAGGUGACCCCAGAAAACCAGGGUGUUUCAGCCCCAGUGUUUUGGGCACAAAGUCACAUUGAUGCAAUGGUCUCCUGGCCGAUAACGUCCCCCUGCGAGGCUCUGAGUGACCCCUGAGCUGUGCUGGGCCUCGCGGAGUCUUAGGGCAGGGUGGGCCAGAGCCAGCAGGGUACAGAUGCAGGGCGUGCACCCCGCACACACCCAGGGCUCCUUCCCAAGACUUACCCAGCACCUCUCUCUGCUCCCAGGUCUCACCCCUUCUUCCCGGCACCCUGGUCCCUGGCUGACACCUGGAGCUUGGACGACCGUGCCACCCUCAGGUCAGCGCAGCGUUUCGAGCUCCCCACCCCCUUCCUCCAGGCGCCACCCUGGGCUGGGCAUGCCUGAAAGGACACACGCACAUGUGUCGCACACGCAUGUGCACACACGCGCACACGCCCACACGGCCUCUGGAGGAUCGCUGGGCGGGUACUUCUCUCACAUUUGCUCGGGCUCAGCUGCGGGCGCUCCCCCCGCGCCUCUGCCCUCCCACCAGCCUCUUUCUGCGGCCGAGGGACCAGGGUCAGUAAGGAGUGAGGGGCUCGCCCAGGUCUCACCCCGGGAAGCUGGACCCGUGACGUCUUCCUGGCCCCCCCUGCACAUAAGCUGAAUGAACCCCCUUUGCAAGGAGGCAGCCACCGCAGGGCUCCGGGGUGGGGGGGCUGGGGCCAAGCGCUGGGGACCAGUGACUGCUGGGCAGAGCUCAGGGGCUCGGCAGGUGAGGAGGUCCCAGCCUGCCCCUCCGCCUCGUGCCCUGCUGGGGCUGCGGUGCUCAGAGUCUACUGGGCCCCCCGCCCCCGCCCCGCCCCCUAGCACCAGCCCGCCGUGCAGACUGUCAGGCCCACUUGGCUGCUUGCAGCCUCCUGGGGAGUCUGUGGGGCCGUGAGGGUCGGGGCCAGACUGGCGGCGUCUCCCUCCCCUCUGUUGCCAUGGCCAGGGGCAGGCCUGCCUCCCAGGGCUGUGUGGAGAGGACCCGGGACCCCUCUGCCAUCUGGGUCUCAUGUGUUUACAGGUCCAGCUUGCCCGCCAGACUCCGCAGACACCGCCCCGGGGCUUUUGUGUCUGCACGCAGGGCAUGCGCCAGCCGGUGCCCGAGGGUGGGGUGGGACACGGGUAGGGAGGGGGGAGGUGCCCCCUGGGGACAUCAGGGACAGAGGGGAAAGGGGGACAUGAGGGGGUAUAGCAUGGGAAAGGAAGAACAGAGCAGAGGCAGAGAGCAGGGCUGGGCACAGGGAGAAAGGAGACCCAGCAGAGACUGACCGCGCGGCUGUGUCUGGGAAGACGGUGCCUUCCCGGCUUUGCUCAAGGCCUUCUAGCACAGGUGCUUUUCUCGGCGCCCGCCGGGAGAUCCCCUCAAUGUCCCACGGGCAGCAGUGGCAGCCUCCUGGGUCCAGAUGAAACGUAGGCACUGAGAGGUGCAUCCCUCACACAGGCUCGGGCACCCGAGUGAACCGGGGACCGAGCCCCAGGCCCUGACGGACACUCGCAGGAGGCCACGAGGGCACGUCCCCAGGAGUGGGGAGGGGCUCCCGGGCCAGGGCGCUGGUGGCUGUGUGAAGCGGCCGAGGUCCAGGACAUACUGUGCGACGGAUGGGAGGUGGGGCCAGUGCGCACAGUUGGGGCUCACUCAGUGCUCGUCCAGGGCCUGAGGAACCACCAGGACGACCACACAGCCCGGUCACCGCAAGGACGAGUGCGUGCCCGGGGCUGGCGGGGAGGGCCGCCCCUCCGUGUGUGCACACCCUCCUCGUUGCACCCGGGACCACCCUGUGCACCCAGAAAUGGGAGCUUGGGGGCUGGGAGCAGCCCAGCUCCGGCCUCGUCUGGGGUUCUGGAGGUUCUUUGGGGGCCAGGCGAGCCCUUUGGGCUGCUGGCUUGGGCUGGGAGAGCAGUGAAGGGUUAGGGGGACAGUGACUCACUUGGUGGGGUUUGUUUUCGCACCGACUCGUAAUUGUUCUCCUGUGAGUCUGCCCGGACUCGGCCCAGGACGGGAGAGGUCUGGGCCUGGGCGGCGCCCCGGCCUCUUUCCCUGCCCCCGUGCCCUGGUGCCUCACCCACGUUGGGCAGCAGACAGGAGCCACGUGGGCCCAGUCAGCACCCUGUGCUGGCCAGUUUUCUGAAGGGAAUUGUCCCUGUCCUCCCUGGCACCCUGGGUUCCUGGGAUAGAGGCUACCCCCGUUCGUUCUUUAGGAGUUGGCGUGAAUGUGCGUUCACGGGAAAUCAAGGCUUGGGCGAUGGGCCCCCAUCGCCCCAUGGCAGAGCCACGUUCGGAAGCUGUAUCUGCUGGGCCUAAUACGGCCCCGUGUGUAGGGCCAGAGCCUGGAGAAGGGGCCCCACGGCGAUGCCAAGACGUGACCCCCAUCUGCUCUGCAGAUGCACAUGUGGUACCUAAUCUUUUCACCCGUGGACAAAGGGGGCCUCCAAGCCUAAGGGGCAGGAGUUUGUUCUAACAUCAAACAUCCAAGUGUCCUUUAUUUAACCAGAGAGAAAAAUUAAGGCCCUAAAUACCUGGCACUUGGUCUUUUUUGGUCCCGGUGAAGACACUGACAAAACGCAAAAGGCCGGCUUCCGCUCAGGGCUUAGCUGUUGGCGCUGAGCAGUGCUCUCUGGCUGGGUGCGGUGGACCCCGGACGGGAGGAGGACGGGGGCAGGGAUGCCCACCCUGAAAGCCACGCCUGGACCAGGUGACUUGGAUUGGUUGGCUUUCGCGAAGCACUUUCUGUCCUGUGGGCCGGGCCCCGAGCCCACGCUCUUCCCGCGCAGGUCAGUCUUCACGACAACCCUGCCAACGGGCAUCUUUCGGUGCCACUUUGCUAUGGGGGCCGAGGCUCAGGGAGGUCAAGGGCCAGCCCCGGGCCACUGAGCCAGGAGCGAGCCGCCCAGCAGGGGAGGUGGAAACACCUCCGGGCUCUGGGAAUGCGUGGCAUCCCCGAGGUGUCGGGGCUGCCACACAUCCCGAGAGGCCGUCUCCCUGGGGGGCAGGCUGAGCGGGGGCUGGGGGAGGGCUGGGGUGGCCCCCAGUGUGGACUAGAGAGUUUAUAAGGGGUCUCCCUGCUGGAGUGAAGCCAAGAGGCCCUCAGACCCAGUGACGCCGGGGCUGCUGCCCGUGCAGCCCGGGUUUCCUGCCCCGGCCUGAGCUCAGCUGGGUACUUGUCUUCAGACGUUUCCCCUGUCGGAGGCCUUGUUCCCCAGAAGCUCAGCUGUGUCCAGCCCUGACUGGGGAGAGAGCAGGCUCCCGCUCUGUCCCCCGGGCCCGGCUCUGGGCUGCCCUUCUCCAAGAACACGGCGCCCGCUCAGCCUGGCUGGCCUGGGGGAACUGGGGAGCCAGAAGGCCCUUGGCCGUUCACCCCGAGGAAGGGAAAUUGAGUGUCUCAGGUGGGGGCUCCCUGGGGUUACCCAGGACAGGGGGUUCUGCUCUCUCCUAGUAGCGAGACCUCAGGCAGGUAGGUGGAGACGUCUCCGGGUCUUCGUUCCCUCAUUCCUGUAACGCCAGGGAGGCCGAUGACGCCUGUGCUGGCGGUGUGACUGUGGGGAAAUAACUUAGCCUCUCUGUGUUCAUUCCCUCACCCCCAGAUCAGGUUGUAAUGAGGACUGACGGAGCUCCCCAGUGCGAUGGGCUUGGGUCAGUGCGUCGAGCGUUCCAGGGGACAGGGUGUUUGCCCUUCCCCGGUUUCCAACGGGGAGUGUGUGCCCCAGGAAGUGCUACUACGUGUAUUUGCAGCAAUAUCGGGCCAACAGGGAUUCGAACCCUGAGCCCUGUGGCUGGGAUGCUCGCUCUGCCCCACUGAGCUCCCCACCCCCGUGGGGCAGCCCGCAAGGAGCAGCCACUCCCGGGGGAGGUCUUCGGGGAGGACGGUUGUUUGGUUCGUGCCUGGGGGGUUGUCAGUACAGCGGUGGUCAUACAAGCGAGGGGGACAGUGGCUCCAGCGCUCCGUGCCAUGCUGAGUCACCCUUUAGAAAAGGCACUGGCUCCCCCUAAUUCCACUGUCUUGUUCCUUGACCCAGGCCCCUCACCGGCUCCUGACCUGCCCGUCUCCGUCAGAGCGCAAGGCCAGCCGUGCCCCCCGGUGCGUGAGUAGCACCUCCGCUGACGGUUGCUUUUCGAGGGCCCCACUGCUGCCCGCGGCCUGGGUCAAGAAGUGGCACUGAGAUGGGAGCAUCUAUCCGAGGCCAGCCUUACUCAACGGUGAGCCGAGCGUUAGGGCUCGCGGGGACACCUCACAGCUGUCCCACUCUUCCCAGCCCAGCCAGAGCCCACAGGAGGCCUCGCCCUGGGCCCUCGUGCAGGAGACAGGCGCACCCCUGGCCUCGGUGUGGGUGCACGGCCACUCCUGCUGAAUGCCCAGAGGACUGUCACAGGACACAGGACAGCACAGGUGACAUCUGCACUGCACGCCCUUCCCACCAUCCUUUCUCUGGGAAGCACGGGGGAGUUUGUAGUGGGGAGGGAUGUGGUCAGAGCUGUGUCCCACGAUGCACUUGUGACCUCAGGCUGGACGUGGCCUGACAGAGCCGUGGUCUGCCGCAGGGUGUCUGCAUGGAAGAGGAACGCAGGCCCCGCCUCCCUGUGCACCGCGAGGGCCCGUCGCCCCCUUUUCUCCAGCCGUCCGCUGCGAUCCUAAUACACAGGCCGCUGAUGUCGACCUGAGACGCACACAGGUGAGUCUGGCCUGGAACAGAAAGGCUGAAUGAGGGGAACCAGUCACAUCUGCUUCUCCCAGCUGGGCUGGGGGUCGGGGUGCUUGUGGUGACAGCCAGGGAGGACCGGGUGUGUGUGUGUGUGUGUGUGUGUGUGUCAGUCUCCCCCCUCUCUUUCCCUGCCUCUCCCUACCCCGUGGAGCCCAGCCCGGGGCUGGGCUGGGGCCCUCAUGGGGUCAGCACUGCAGGCUCUGGAGCUGAAGCCCCGACCCAGGGGAGGGCAGGCGGGUCUGAGUAGUGGCACACGCGUGGGUUCCAGCCCAGUGUUAACUACGGGCGGCCUGGCAGCCACUCGGACCCCCUGGGAGCAGCUGCUGCAGGGACCCCGCCUCUCAGUGAGGAGGUCCAGGCCCACGAGGGCCGAAGAGGCGUCGGAGAAGCACGGCGGGGAGGCCGGCCCGGCUUCGCAGCCAGCUCCACUUGCUGGGCUAUCCUGCCCCGUGCCGCCCUCAGCCUGCUAGGGCCAGUGGUCGGAGCCAGGGGGCCCCUGCAGCCUGAGGCCGUUGGAGGUCUCCGGGGCUAAGUUGGGAGCCAGAGCCCGCGCUCAGGGGCCUCCUCAGGGUCACUCCGAGACAUUCGGCAGCACCCUGGCUGGGCGCCGUGUCCUCGGCCUCCCCAGCGAUGAGGCUCACGGCAGCCGCUCACCCCACGGGGCGGCUGCACCAGGCUGCCCGUCCACAAACACAGCCAGAAGCUGCCUGCCUGGACCAUGCAUCGUUGCCAGGAUGGGGGUGCGUCGAAGGAAGGCCCUUGGUCACCCUCUCCUUGCCCCCCGUCCUAGAGGCUGGCUGGCUCUGCCUGGAGAGUCCUUAGGGACACCCUGGUCCUGUCCACAAGCCAAGAAGUCCAAGUGGAGGCCAGGAGACGGGACCUCGAGGCCCUCUCGUGAAGAUUUCCUUCUGGGGCCUCAAGGAAAGACAGGGUUGCCAGUGAGCACAGGCCAGCCAGGUCUUGGGGGGCAGGCUGCGUUGGGGUGUUGCUGGCCCAACUCCCAGGUGACUGCACCUCAGUGUCCCGCGCUAGGUGUGGGCCCUGGUGUCCUCAUCACUAGCGGAGGGUUCUGGGACCAUUUCGUGCCUCUCGGGGUUCAGGGAGCAGCAGUGCCCUGUUUAUUGGGACUGGGCACGAGGCCCCCUGUGCAGUAGUGGGCGAGGCCACGCCGGGGAGAGCCCGAGGGCAAGCCCUGCCCCCUGCCUGGGACCCAUCCGAGCCUCAGCUUCCUCACUACGAAAUGGCAUCGGUGAUCCUAGCUUCACCAGGCCAGUGAAGACCAAAUGGCACAGACCAGCCUUUCCUGGGAGCCAGGUUCCCUUUUGGAAAGUAAGAAUAUUCUAUAGCCUCUCCUGAGAUGGGAAAAGCCCAGGUCACCCUGGAUGGUGGGACCAGACCAAGCAGAGCCCACGGGGAGGGAGUCCACACCUGUCCAGUGGGUGGAGGUGUGUCCUGGGGCAGCAGGGAGCCAGGGGUGGGCGGUGCCGUCAGAGGUGGGGGCCAGGUGGGCAUGCGUAGCCCCUUUUGGACAUGGGUUGGCCUCUAGCAGAUGACAGCCUUCCUCCCAGUGUCACCGGUGCAGAAGUCCCUUGGGGACACCAUGGUCACGCAUCCACUCCUGUCCAGAUGGGACUGAUCCCAUCACCUGUAGCGCUUUUCUGAAAGCCACAUCGCACGUUUCCCUCCCUCCCUCUCUUCCCUCUUUCCUUCUCCCUCCCUGGUUGGUGGUUGUCUCCUGUGGGGCAGCUCCCAGGGUAUGCGGGCCCUCUCCUGACCCGCCUGCCAGUCCCCGUGCCCUCAGCGCCCCAGCACAACCCUGACCCCCGUCCACCUGCUGCUCUCCUCCUUCCCCCUCCAGGAGAUGCCUCUGGGAGCCAUGAUGUCCCUCCAGGCGCCGAGACUGACGGCCCUUUGGGGUGAGGUAGUAGGUUGUAUAGUUUGGGGCUCUGCCCUGCUAUGGGAUAACUAUACAAUCUACUGUCUUUCCUGAAGUGGCUGUAAUAUCGACAGUGGACAGCAUCCAGGACCCUGGCUGCUGGAGGGGGGUGCGGUGGGCAGGGUGGGGGGUGGGGACGCAGCCUCAGCAGGGUGGGCGCAGUGGCUGCCGGGUGGUAAGUCUGACAGGCCUAGGUUCCACUUGUUGUGUGACCUGGGGCCCUUGACCUCUCUGGGCUUCAGUUUCCUUAUCUGUGAAAGGGGGCGGAUGAGGGCUGAGGGCAGUACCGUGUGAAGUGUCCAAGGAGGGCAGGGCUCAGAGUCGACCUCUCCCUCUCCCCACACUGCGCUGAGAGCCGAUGGACCCGACGGGCAGUUUGGGCAGCCCACCCCUCCACCGUCCACAUCCCCGUGCCCCACAUCAGGCUCUUGGGCGGCCCCCAGCCUGGACUUUGCCCUCAGAUGCAUCCCUGCGGCCGGCACUGGGCACCGGGAGGAGUAGCCUCGGGCCCGAGGGGGACGGGCCAGCUGAGGCUUGGCUGGCGUCACAGCCCAGCACCCCAGGGCAGCCCACGGGGUCGGCCUCGAUCAGCACAUCCCCCGAGUCCACAGCCUGCCCAGCUCAGUGUCAGGCCUCUGGUCAGCGGAGGGACGGAGGCCAGGGCUCCCCUCUCCCAGGCAGGGAGUGAGAGGAAUGUCCUCGAGCCCACGGCAGCCCUCGUGGGCACGAGCCCGUUCCACCCCCAGCAAGCGCAGGUGGACUGGCCAGCGUGGGGACCAAGGCGCCGUCUACACGUCCCUCCUCCCCUGCGCCUGCCCAGCCCUCCAGCUCGGCUCUGGUGGCUGCAGACCACCAUGAGGGGCCGGGGCUGGGCCGGGGGCAGCGGCAGGAUGGCGGACCCUCCCAAACCCGGGCACCGGCGGGGUGAGGUAGUAGGUUGUGUGGUUUCAGGGCAGUGAUGUUGCCCCCUCGGAAGAUAACUAUACAACCUACUGCCUUCCCUGAGGGGCCCAGCGUCGUCCCACGGGAGGGCCGCCCCCGUGCUCCGCAGGGGACUCGGCAGAUGACUUGGGGGCCUGAGCCCAGGCCAGGAGGGUGGGAGGCCGCCCUGUGCACACUCAGAUCUCAAUAAAAGCUGCUGUGAUGGGAA